ACACGUGCUACAAUGGCCGGUACAGACGGACGCAAAGCCGCGAGGUGGAGCAAAUCCUAAAAAGACCGGUCUCAGUUCGGAUUGCAGGCUGCAAUUCGCCUGCAUGAAGUCGGAAUCGCUAGUAAUCGCAGGUCAGCAUACUGCGGUGAAUACCGGUUCCCGGGCCUU
RNAcentral lists this ribosomal RNA (168 nucleotides) under uncultured Bacillus sp. Its description in RNAcentral is "partial 16S ribosomal RNA". It matches the Rfam family "Bacterial small subunit ribosomal RNA", at positions 1218 to 1382 of the family's 1533-position model. Lineage: Bacteria; Bacillati; Bacillota; Bacilli; Caryophanales; Bacillaceae. The record is from RNAcentral.